Molecule: ribosomal RNA, 156 nt
Filed under: Citrobacter freundii
Lineage: Bacteria; Pseudomonadati; Pseudomonadota; Gammaproteobacteria; Enterobacterales; Enterobacteriaceae
Also listed under: 1 other name
Description: partial 16S ribosomal RNA
Rfam family: Bacterial small subunit ribosomal RNA
Source: RNAcentral
AAAUUGAAGAGUUUGAUCAUGGCUCAGAUUGAACGCUGGCGGCAGGCCUAACACAUGCAAGUCGAACGGUAGCACAGAGGAGCUUGCUCCUUGGGUGACGAGUGGCGGACGGGUGAGUAAUGUCUGGGAAACUGCCCGAUGGAGGGGGAUAACUAC